AUAGUCAGCUUGUUCUUGUAUUAUCACAUUAUUCUUGUAAAUUUCUUUUUUCUUAGUGUAGCCUUAAUAUUCUGUCCUAUGCAAGCGCUUCGAAGUCGUGCAAGAAAAAUAAUUGGCUGAUGGAGUCACGUGUAUGGAGCAAAAACAGUCUCAUAACUCACAAACACACAAACCAAGAACCACAAAUGCACAGAACAAGAUACACACUUGUAUUUUGAUGCAAACACAGAUAUUUCUUGAGUUACAAUCUGCUUGUGGCCUGUGGGUUGUGCUGCAUUUGCAUGUGAAUUUUGAGACUCCCCUGAUGUUCACACACAAAUGCACAGAACAAGAUGCACAAAACCAAGGUCUCAAAAUUCACACAUAAAUGCAGCACAACCGACAAGGCAAAUCAAGAAAUAAUCGGGCUGCAUCAGAAAUACAAACGUGGAUAUUUUUCUGUGCAUUUGUGAAUUAUGAGACUGUUUCAGCUCCAUACACGUGACACGAGUCAAGGUUCAGCUCCAUCAGCGCGAGCGCGUCUUUCGUCACGUAGCGUAGCCAACGGCUUCUUUGCUAGCUUAGUUUUCACCGACAAAUGAAACGGGGAAAAUGACGGAUAUUUUAUCAGGAUGGUUUCACCUAAAGGCGGAAACCGGACUCCCGAACCUCCAGUUGAAUUUAAAAUUUCUCCGGAGUCCUAAAAGUGGAUCUUGGUGCUGCUUUUAUAAAGCGGGAGUCUUUUUCGGCGUUGUUAGCCUCUGAUUCAGCUAGCAAGACCCGCUCUGGAGACUGUAAUAUCGCGGCUCCUGCUUUAUUGUUUUGUCCUGUUUGAUGGCACUUUUUUGGGGAAGCGUUUUUACUUUAAAAGUCUAAAAUAUUUAACCCGUAAAUGCCAAGACUUUUGUAAUUAUGGGAUUAUUGUGUGUGCCUUCUUCAACGAUGUCUUGAACAAGAUGGUUGCCUUGAGAAAUUAUGAAUCUAUUGUACACCGCAUCAGCUGUCCAUGCCGAGAGGUUUUCCCUGAUUCUUCCCAUCUUUAAAACCCUUUUUGAUUCAACAUUACUUGGAGCCAUGGGAGUGUGAGAUCUUUGCAUCGGCGGAUGUUGCAGAGAUGGCUUCAUCCACAUGAGGACACAGGAAGCCGACAGUUGGAGGUGAGAGGAAACCACGUCCCCCAUGGCGACAGCGUUUCCCAGCGGUGCUAACUCCCAGGCUGAACCUCCAAGACUCCGGCGCUCUGCAGGGAAUCUGCUUCAGGCUCCCAGUCCGGCCGGUGCUGCUGUGGCUCCCCUCCUGUUUGGCUCCAGAAAACCCCAGAGAGGGAGGAAGACGAGGAGGAGGAAGAGGAGGAGGAGGUGAACACUGCUCCCUUUCACAGCGAGGCAGCAGGACACACCCUCUGGGAGUCAUCACUGGUCCAACGUGUUCAGUCGGCCGUGCCAAAGGUGUGGCCUGGAGUUUGUGUUUACUUGUUUGGCGUUAUUGGAAACGUAGAAACAUUUUGUAUUUUCUCUGGUUUUACAGCUUCACUGAUUAGCAGCCAUGAUUGGAUCCAUCAGCUCUGAUUUUAGGCUGAAACAUUUAGUUAAUGUGGUGCUGAAGUUUCCCUUUGUGCUCAAACUGAAAGCAUACCUGCUGAUGGGGUCAUGAAAACGGGUUUAUGCUGCCCCCUUGUGGCGGCGCUCAGAACUACAGGUUAAAAUUUACAAAGAUUGUUUCUAAUGUUGGCUAAUAGUAACAAAAAACUACGCAAAUAAGAGUAGUACUACUUCAGCAUAUUUUUACUCAAGUAAAAAGGCAUUUGGAGAACAUCUACUGAAGUACUCAGUCACUGAUCAAAUUAUCAAUCAUUUUAAAAAUUACAUCAUCAGAUGGACCAAAAUGGAAAAUUAAAUGGAAAUUUUGGUAUUUUAAGAACAAAAAUGACAAUAUUUCAUCUAAGGAACAAACAAUAACUAAGGUAAAAUAAAAUGUUUCCAAAUCCGUUUCUUUCAAUAAAAAACUCCAGCUGU
Long non-coding RNA from Poecilia latipinna (sailfin molly), 1994 nucleotides. RefSeq lists it as uncharacterized. Lineage: Eukaryota; Metazoa; Chordata; Actinopteri; Cyprinodontiformes; Poeciliidae. The record is from RefSeq and is a predicted model, not a curated record. The transcript has 2 exons.